UGGCUCAGAUUGAACGCUGGCGGCAGGCCUAACACAUGCAAGUCGAGCGGUAGCACAGAGAGCUUGCUCUCGGGUGACGAGCGGCGGACGGGUGAGUAAUGUCUGGGAAACUGCCUGAUGGAGGGGGAUAACUACUGGAAACGGUAGCUAAUACCGCAUAACGUCGCAAGACCAAAGUGGGGGACCUUCGGGCCUCAUGCCAUCAGAUGUGCCCAGAUGGGAUUAGCUAGUAGGUGGGGUAACGGCUCACCUAGGCGACGAUCCCUAGCUGGUCUGAGAGGAUGACCAGCCACACUGGAACUGAGACACGGUCCAGACUCCUACGGGAGGCAGCAGUGGGGAAUAUUGCACAAUGGGCGCAAGCCUGAUGCAGCCAUGCCGCGUGUGUGAAGAAGGCCUUCGGGUUGUAAAGCACUUUCAGCGGGGAGGAAGGCGAUAAGGUUAAUAACCUCAUCGAUUGACGUUACCCGCAGAAGAAGCACCGGCUAACUCCGUGCCAGCAGCCGCGGUAAUACGGAGGGUGCAAGCGUUAAUCGGAAUUACUGGGCGUAAAGCGCACGCAGGCGGUCUGUCAAGUCGGAUGUGAAAUCCCCGGGCUCAACCUGGGAACUGCAUUCGAAACUGGCAGGCUAGAGUCUUGUAGAGGGGGGUAGAAUUCCAGGUGUAGCGGUGAAAUGCGUAGAGAUCUGGAGGAAUACCGGUGGCGAAGGCGGCCCCCUGGACAAAGACUGACGCUCAGGUGCGAAAGCGUGGGGAGCAAACAGGAUUAGAUACCCUGGUAGUCCACGCCGUAAACGAUGUCGAUUUGGAGGUUGUGCCCUUGAGGCGUGGCUUCCGGAGCUAACGCGUUAAAUCGACCGCCUGGGGAGUACGGCCGCAAGGUUAAAACUCAAAUGAAUUGACGGGGGCCCGCACAAGCGGUGGAGCAUGUGGUUUAAUUCGAUGCAACGCGAAGAACCUUACCUGGUCUUGACAUCCACAGAACUUUCCAGAGAUGGAUUGGUGCCUUCGGGAACUGUGAGACAGGUGCUGCAUGGCUGUCGUCAGCUCGUGUUGUGAAAUGUUGGGUUAAGUCCCGCAACGAGCGCAACCCUUAUCCUUUGUUGCCAGCGGUCCGGCCGGGAACUCAAAGGAGACUGCCAGUGAUAAACUGGAGGAAGGUGGGGAUGACGUCAAGUCAUCAUGGCCCUUACGACCAGGGCUACACACGUGCUACAAUGGCAUAUACAAAGAGAAGCGACCUCGCGAGAGCAAGCGGACCUCAUAAAGUAUGUCGUAGUCCGGAUUGGAGUCUGCAACUCGACUCCAUGAAGUCGGAAUCGCUAGUAAUCGUAGAUCAGAAUGCUACGGUGAAUACGUUCCCGGGCCUUGUACACACCGCCCGUCACACCAUGGGAGUGGGUUGCAAAAGAAGUAGGUAGCUUAACCUUCGGGAGGGCGCUUACCACUUUGUGAUUCAUGACUGGGGUGAAGUCGUAACAAGGUAAACCGU
Molecule: ribosomal RNA, 1492 nt
Filed under: Klebsiella pneumoniae
Lineage: Bacteria; Pseudomonadati; Pseudomonadota; Gammaproteobacteria; Enterobacterales; Enterobacteriaceae
Description: bacterial SSU rRNA
Rfam family: Bacterial small subunit ribosomal RNA
Source: RNAcentral